UAGGCUUCCUGGACGUGACUGUGCUCU
RNAcentral lists this non-coding RNA (27 nucleotides) under Homo sapiens (human). Lineage: Eukaryota; Metazoa; Chordata; Mammalia; Primates; Hominidae. The record is from RNAcentral.